AAGGAAAUUAUUUGGGAAGCUGCUAACUAUCUUAAUAAGCAAUUAAUAAUUGUUUUUUCCUUA
RNAcentral lists this transfer RNA (63 nucleotides) under Aphrophora sp. EMHAU-2015-Zz062722. RNAcentral's name for it is "tRNA-Ser". Lineage: Eukaryota; Metazoa; Arthropoda; Insecta; Hemiptera; Aphrophoridae. The record is from RNAcentral.